AUGAACGCUGGCGGCGUGCCUAAUACAUGCAAGUCGAGCGAACAGACGAGGAGCUUGCUCCUCUUACGUUAGCGGCGGACGGGUGAGUAACACGUGGAUAACCUACCUAUAAGACUGGGAUAACUUCUGGAAACCGGAGCUAAUACCGGAUAAUAUAUUGAACCGCAUGGUUCAAUAGUGAAAGACGGUUUUGCUGUCACUUAUAGAUGGAUCCGCGCCGCAUUAGCUAGUUGGUAAGGUAACGGCUUACCAAGGCAACGAUGCGUAGCCGACCUGAGAGGGUGAUCGGCCACACUGGAACUGAGACACGGUCCAGACUCCUACGGGAGGCAGCAGUAGGGAAUCUUCCGCAAUGGGCGAAAGCCUGACGGAGCAACGCCGCGUGAGUGAUGAAGGUCUUCGGAUCGUAAAACUCUGUUAUUAGGGAAGAACAAAUGUGUAAGUAACUAUGCACGUCUUGACGGUACCUAAUCAGAAAGCCACGGCUAACUACGUG
This 496-nucleotide ribosomal RNA is filed under the name uncultured bacterium. Its description in RNAcentral is "partial 16S ribosomal RNA". It matches the Rfam family "Bacterial small subunit ribosomal RNA", at positions 29 to 507 of the family's 1533-position model. The record is from RNAcentral.